Molecule: long non-coding RNA, 819 nt
Organism: Anthonomus grandis grandis
Lineage: Eukaryota; Metazoa; Arthropoda; Insecta; Coleoptera; Curculionidae
Exons: 5
Source: RefSeq, a predicted model, not a curated record
CACACGCCUUGUUACGAUAAUCUCAAUGGAGGACGUAUACGUAUAUACGACGCGAAAUUAGUGGAUUAUUUAAUAGUGAAAUUUGGCCAAAAAACCCUUAGAAGAUGCGUUAAUAGGGUGGAAAAGGGUUGGAGAACAACCUGAGGUAGUUUAGUCACCUAUAAAUGGGCACCCCUUAAACUAAGUAGCAUGCCCUGGGAACUGACCCUGCAGCACCUUAUAGGGGACUGGUGGUGUGUGCCAUGUCCGAGAAUCAUCAGGUGGCCCUGUUUAAUGACCCAUAAACCAACAAACUGGAGGACAAAGAUUGAAUUUUAUUAUCGAACAUAGUGCCCCCUACCUAGGCUGCAAUAAAAGAAUUACAAAAACAUCUUAAAUAAUUAAGGAGUUGCGAGGGAAAGUGUCUUAGAGGGAUCAAAAAUUAUGAAGUUUACCGAGUGGAUAUAAAUGGGUCUAACUCGUGAAAGAGGUCAAUUGAGUACCUCAACAAAUUCCUCAAAAAACUCAACUUCCUGAACCAGACUCUUGUAAACCAACCAAUAGGGACAGUAGCAUAAGGGGGUUCAACUUGCCACUGAAAUUCACCAACUGGUGACCAAGAAAUCACCCUAUAGAGACCUUCAGGAAUCAAAAGGAUGCAGUUGACGCAGUUUUAAGAAAACAAGAGAAUACAGAACAAAUUACCUUAACUGUUACCUUUAAAUGAGGUCAAGUCACUCAAAUCUCCUUAAUCCAGGACUGGAAGAGCACAGGAGCACUAAACAUGCAAUAUUUAUAUAUAUUAUGUAUAUGAAUAAAAUAAAUAAAUAAACAAAUAAA